ACUUCCUCCGUUUCACAAUGUAAGUCAUUUUAGCAUUUCCCAUAUUCAUAUUGAUGCUAAUGAAUAUAUAUAAAUAUAUAUGUCUAGAUUCAUUAGCAUCAAUAUGAAUGUGAGAAAUGUUAGAAUGACUUACAUUGUGAAACGGAGGGAGU
RNAcentral lists this microRNA precursor (152 nucleotides) under Oryza sativa Japonica Group (Japanese rice). Its description in RNAcentral is "osa-MIR809g". Lineage: Eukaryota; Viridiplantae; Streptophyta; Magnoliopsida; Poales; Poaceae. The record is from RNAcentral.